This 420-nucleotide unclassified non-coding RNA is filed under the name Hevea brasiliensis (rubber tree). The record is from RNAcentral. Lineage: Eukaryota; Viridiplantae; Streptophyta; Magnoliopsida; Malpighiales; Euphorbiaceae.
AUGCACAGAAGGAAAUCCAGCUAACCGUCCCACAGCAACUGAAAUCUAUGAAUUGUUGCUUGUGCAUACAAAUACUUUCACUAGUUCAAGGAAUUAGGUGCAUGUGUAGAUUAACCUUUAGGAAAUAGUUCAUUCCUAGUCCCAAAUUUUUGUAGCCCUAGAAUGUUGUAUUACUAUAUUUAAUAUUUAUUUCCUUUCAAAUCAAUUGGUUGGGCUUAUCCUGAAUUUGUUAUAGCAUAAUUGUAGUUACAGGUUUAGGAUUAGCAUCAUGAGCUUUAUUCAGUGUGACUUUGCCCAGGAUUUAGAUUCAAAUCAGCACAUUCUGCCCCUGUAAUCUAAUUGGGAUCAUUAAAUUUUGUAUGGGUUGUGCAUUUGUAAGCUAACCUAUUUAAAUUAUUACAUCUAUCAAUGUUGGAUUUG